RNAcentral lists this long non-coding RNA (666 nucleotides) under Numida meleagris (helmeted guineafowl). Its description in RNAcentral is "lncRNA (ENSNMEG00000003892.1)". Lineage: Eukaryota; Metazoa; Chordata; Aves; Galliformes; Numididae. The record is from RNAcentral.
ACGUGGGUGACCCCAUAGGGUCGUGGUGGCCCCAUAGGGACGUGGUGGCCCCAUAGGGAUGUGGGUGGCCCCAUAGGGACGUGGUGGCCCCAUAGCGACGUGGGUGGCCCCCCCAGGAUGCUGGCGGCCCCAUAAGUGUGGGGCGCGGUGCGGGGGGGCGGUGUGGGGCGGUUGUGGGUCGGGGCGCGACGCUGUUGGCUGCUAAUAAAAAGAGAGAGCGACCGCACGCCUCCGCCCCACGGAUGGACCCACAGCGCUGCCCCAUAGCGACCCACAGAGACCCACCGAGCCCCAUAGAUCCCAUAGNGAGGAGGAAGGGGUUGGGGGCAGCCAGGAGGAGCUUGGUGGCAUCUUGGAGGAGUUUGGGGACAAGUAAGGGGAGCUUGGUGGCAUCUUGGAGGACCUGGGUGGCACCUUGGAGGACCUUGGAGACAAGUAAAGGCACCUUGGUGGCAUCUUGGAGGACCUUGGGGACACCAAAGGGGACCUUGGUGGCAUCUCAGAGGGGUUGGGGUCACCCAAGAGGAGCUUGGUGGCAUCUUGGAGGACCUUGGUGGCACCUUGGAGGACCUUGGGGACACCUAAGGGGACCUUGGUGGCAUCUUGGAGGACCUUGGGGACAAUAAAGGGGACCUUGGUGGCAUCUCAGAGGGGUUGGGGUCACCC